RNAcentral lists this ribosomal RNA (1095 nucleotides) under uncultured bacterium. RNAcentral describes it as "bacterial SSU rRNA". It matches the Rfam family "Bacterial small subunit ribosomal RNA", at positions 61 to 1154 of the family's 1533-position model. The record is from RNAcentral.
GUCGUGCGAGAAGUAUCUUCGGAUAUGAGUAGAGCGGCGGACGGGUGAGUAACGCGUAGGAAUCUACCUAGUAGAAGGGGAUAGCCCGGGGAAACUCGGAUUAAUACCGUAUACCUCCUUUGGGAGAAAGAAGGCCUCUCUUUGAAACUUUCGCUACUAGAUGAGCCUGCGUAAGAUUAGCUUGUUGGUGAGGUAAAGGCUCACCAAGGCGACGAUCUUUAGCGGGUCUGAGAGGACGAUCCGCCACAUUGGGACUGAGACACGGCCCAGACUCCUACGGGAGGCAGCAGUGGGGAAUAUUGGACAAUGGGCGCAAGCCUGAUCCAGCCAUACCGCGUGUGUGAAGAAGGCCCUAGGGUUGUAAAGCACUUUAAGUUGGGAAGAAAAGUUAUUGGUUAAUACCCAAUGACCGUGACAUUACCUUCAGAAUAAGGACCGGCUAAUUCCGUGCCAGCAGCCGCGGUAAUACGGAAGGUCCAAGCGUUAAUCGGAAUUACUGGGCGUAAAGCGCGCGUAGGUGGUUUAUUAAGUUGGAUGUGAAAUCCCCGGGCUCAACCUGGGAACUGCAUCCAAAACUGAUUCACUAGAGUACGAUAGAGGGAGGUAGAAGUCACAGUGUAGCGGUGGAAUGCGUAGAUAUUGUGAAGAAUACCAAUGGCGAAGGCAGCCUCCUGGAUCUGUACUGACACUAAGGUGCGAAAGCGUGGGUAGCGAACAGGAUUAGAUACCCUGGUAGUCCACGCCGUAAACGAUGUCAACUAGCUGUUGGGAAACUAUGUUUUUCAGUGGCGCAGCUAACGUAGUAAGUUGACCGCCUGGGGAGUACGGCCGCAAGGCUAAAACUCAAAUGAAUUGACGGGGACCCGCACAAGCGGUGGAGCAUGUGGUUUAAUUCGAUGCAACGCGAAAAACCUUACCUAUACUUGACAUACUUGGAAUGCUUUGUAAUGAAGCAGUGCCUUCGGGAGCCAGGAUACAGGUGCUGCAUGGCUGUCGUCAGCUCGUGUCGUGAGAUGUUCCGUUAAGUCGGAUAACGAGCGCAACCCUUACCCUUAUUUGCCAGCGAUUCGGUCGGGAACUAUAAGGGGACUGCCG